CAGUCGCCACGGUAAUACGUAGGUGGCAAGCGUUGUCCGGAUUUACUGGGCGUAAAGCGCGCGCAGGCGGAUGGUUAAGUAGGAAGUGAAAGGUUGGAGCUCAACCCCAACAUUGCUCCCUAUACUGGCCGUCUUGAGUCCCGGAGAGGAAAGCGGAACGACACGUGGAGCGGUGAAAUGCGUUGAUAUGUGUCGGAACACCAAUGGCGAAGGCAGCCUUCUGGACGGGUACUGACGCUCAGGCGCGAAAGCCGAGGUAGCGAACAGGAUUAGAUACCCGCGUAGUCCCUGUCUCUUAUAC
Molecule: ribosomal RNA, 301 nt
Filed under: uncultured bacterium
Lineage: Bacteria
Description: partial 16S ribosomal RNA
Rfam family: Bacterial small subunit ribosomal RNA
Source: RNAcentral